Molecule: long non-coding RNA, 493 nt
Filed under: Mytilus galloprovincialis (Mediterranean mussel)
Lineage: Eukaryota; Metazoa; Mollusca; Bivalvia; Mytilida; Mytilidae
Source: RNAcentral
AAUAAAAUUGAGAAUGGAAAUGGGGAAUGUGCCAAAGAGACAACAACCCGACCAUUGAAAAAAAACAACAGCAGAAGGUCACCAACAGGUCUUCAAUGUAGCGAGAAAUUCCCGCACCCAGAGGCGUCCUUCAGCUGGACCCUAAACAAAUAUAUACUAGUUCAGUGAUAAUGAACGCCAUACUAAUUUCCAAAUUGUACACAAGAAACUAAAAUUAAAAUAAUACAAGACUAACAAAGGCCAGAGGCUCCUGACUUGGGACAGGCGCAAAAAUGCGGCGGGGUUAAACAUGUUUGUGAGAUCUCAACCCUCUCCCUAUACCUCUAGCCAAUGUAGAAAAGUAAACGCAUAACAAUACGCACAUUAAAAUUCAGUCCAAGAGAAGUCCGAGUCUGAUGUCAGAAGAUGUAACCAAAGAAAAUAAACAAAAUGACAAUAAUACAUAAAUAACAACAGACUACUAGCAGUUAACUGACAUGCCAGCUCCAGACUU